Molecule: ribosomal RNA, 396 nt
Filed under: uncultured bacterium
Lineage: Bacteria
Description: bacterial SSU rRNA
Rfam family: Bacterial small subunit ribosomal RNA
Source: RNAcentral
ACGAACGCUGGCGGCGUGCUUAACACAUGCAAGUCGAGCGGUAAGGCCCUUUCGGGGGUACACGAGCGGCGAACGGGUGAGUAACACGUGGGUGACCUGCCCUCAGCUCUGGGAUAAGCCUGGGAAACCGGGUCUAAUACUGGAUAUGACUCCAUGACGCAUGUUGUGGGGUGGAAAGCCUUGUGCGGCUGAGGAUGGGCCCGCGGCCUAUCAGCUUGUUGUGGGGUGANGGCCUACCAAGGCGACGACGGGUAGCCGGCCUGAGAGGGCGACCGGCCACACUGGGACUGAGACACGGCCCAGACUCCUACGGGAGGCAGCAGUGGGGAAUCUUGCGCAAUGGGCGAAAGCCUGACGCAGCGACGCCGCGUGAGGGAUGACGGCCUCGGUUGUAAC